This 333-nucleotide long non-coding RNA is filed under the name Trifolium pratense (red clover). Its description in RNAcentral is "long non-coding RNA (TPRA_LNC007359)". Lineage: Eukaryota; Viridiplantae; Streptophyta; Magnoliopsida; Fabales; Fabaceae. The record is from RNAcentral.
UAAAUAUAUACCAAGUUUCAGAUUGUAAUAAUACACAAUAUUUGGUACAAAACAGAGGUCAAUCAAGGCCGAGGCUAGCAUGGACAAGAAGGGUAGGUCUCCCAUGAUGGGAAAUGACUUUUUAACCAUGAGAUUUAUUAAUAAUAUAAGUAGUGGAUAGGAUUAAUUACCGGCAACUUGAGGGUCCACUGUUCUUCAGUUUAAUUUUUAUUUACAGUAAUGCCUACUUAUGUUUGAGUAAUUAAAAUUUGUCCAUGAUGAAUAUAACUCUUAUAUUUUUUAGGCAAAAUUACACUGCAGGUCCUUUAUCUUAUUUUUUUUGUAACACUUUGG